RNAcentral lists this long non-coding RNA (536 nucleotides) under Ananas comosus (pineapple). RNAcentral describes it as "long non-coding RNA (ACOM_LNC038698)". The record is from RNAcentral. Lineage: Eukaryota; Viridiplantae; Streptophyta; Magnoliopsida; Poales; Bromeliaceae.
UGGGAGCUCGAGAAAACCAUGCGGCGAGAGUAUCCGCAACUGUUUGAGUCGACGAAUUAAGGUAUGCGUAAUUUCGCGGACGAAAUUAUUUUAAGGGGUGGAGAAUGUAAUAUACCGAAAAUUCGAAAAAUAAAGAUGUCGAAGUUUAGUCAAAUUGACCAAAGUGCGAGGACAGUACACUUAGGAAAGUCCGAAGGUGUUAAAGUGAUUAAAAGCGAGAUACGGGAGGUUUUUGAGAGCUAUAGAAUCAAAAUCUGCAUUCUGCAGUUUUGAGCUCUCGGGGACCGGUCCCUGGAGGGAGAGACCGGUCCCCGAACGCGUAUGAAGUGAGACAGCCGAAAAAUCGGCUAAGUCCUGGGAAAGCAGCUCUCGGGAACCGGUCCCUGCCUGAGAGACCGGUCCCCGAGAGACCGGUCCCCCAAGGAGAGACCGGAUGCAUCGCGCGCAGCAGCUCUGGCUGCGCUGGGAUGACCUUCGGGAACCGGUCCCUGAAGGAGAGACCGGUCCCCGGCUGCGCGAACUGUCCAGUUCGGGCA